RNAcentral lists this ribosomal RNA (556 nucleotides) under Attagis malouinus. RNAcentral's name for it is "partial 12S ribosomal RNA". The record is from RNAcentral. Lineage: Eukaryota; Metazoa; Chordata; Aves; Ciconiiformes; Thinocoridae.
AACAGUACGCGGCGUAAAGCGUGGUGAUACGCUAUCACUAAAACUAAGACCAAAAUGCAACUAAGCCGUCAUAAGCUCAAGAUGCCCCUAGGACCCCUUAUAAUCUUAGCACGAUUAACUUUACCCACGAAAGCUAAGGCACAAACUGGGAUUAGAUACCCCACUAUGCUUAGCCCUAAAUCUUAGCGCUAGCGCUCGCCCGAGAACUACGAGCAUAAACGCUUAAAACUCUAAGGACUUGGCGGUGUCCUAAACCCACCUAGAGGAGCCUGUUCUAUAAUCGAUAAUCCACGUUACACCGACCCCUCCUAGCUCAGCCUACAUACCGCCGWCGCCAGCUCACCUUCUCUGAGAGCUCAACAGUGAGCAUAAUAGAAACGCUAACAAGACAGGUCGAGGUAUAGCCCAUGGAGCGGAAGAAAUGGGCUACAUUUUCUAGCAUAGAAAGGGGGCGUGAAAUCCCCCCAAAAGGCGGAUUUAGCAGUAAAGAGGAACAAUAAUCCUCUUUAAGCUGGCCCUAGGCACGUACACACCGCCCGUCACCCUCCUCUCAAGC